GCAGUGCAAAAUCAGACGACAAUUAAGUGAGCCAGGAAAUCAAAAAGAAGAAACCUGAGAAAGAUUAUGAUAGAUUUAAAAUCUAUACAUUAGAUGAAGAAAUCAAUUGGAAGUACAAGAAAAUUUUGUUGAUUCUGCUGCUACAAAUGGCAGACUCAAAAAAAGUACAAAAUGAACAAAGGAAACAAAAUGUGAAUUUCAGUGCAGCAUCAAUGACCAGCAGAUUAAAGAAAAUCCAGGCAUGAGCUGCAAUUAACUCAGUAAGUGCUAAAAAAUUUCCCAGUAAGAAAUUCCCCAAGGGCUGCAGCUA
RNAcentral lists this long non-coding RNA (310 nucleotides) under Arachis ipaensis. RNAcentral describes it as "long non-coding RNA (AIPA_LNC001570)". The record is from RNAcentral. Lineage: Eukaryota; Viridiplantae; Streptophyta; Magnoliopsida; Fabales; Fabaceae.